Saccostrea cuccullata (small rock oyster) is the source of this 677-nucleotide long non-coding RNA. RefSeq lists it as uncharacterized. Lineage: Eukaryota; Metazoa; Mollusca; Bivalvia; Ostreida; Ostreidae. The transcript is spliced from 6 exons. The record is from RefSeq and is a predicted model, not a curated record.
UUUCAUGUCCACGUGAAGUUGUACAAGUGAGAAGCCGCUCGUUCACCGGUCAACAGAAAUUCAGAUAUAGACAAAUUAUAUAUUUGAUGGUUGAUCGUGGGGCCAAUGUCCGGUGUGAAAUAGCAUCGGGAUCGUAAUACUGGAACGCCAUUUUUGUGACGUCCGUGGCGGGAAAUGAGAGGAUGAUCAGAGGGCCAGUGAGACGAUGUUUAAUUUGCCACAUGAUACUAUUUAAAGCAGAGCAUGAUGUAUCUUCCUGUCUUCCUGUCAACAUGUGAAACCCAUGUGAAUUUUAGGAUAGGAUGCUGUCUGGUCAUCAGCAGAGAGUCUUGACGCUGUAUUUAUACCAGUCACCACUGUAACCUUUGUUAUGUUUACCAAUCACCACUGUAACCUUUGUUAUGUUUACCAGUCACCACUGUAACCUUUGUUAUGUUUAGCAGACAGAUGAUGGACCACUCUACUUCCUUUGAAAACAAGUGUCCAUACAGAUUCACAAAGUUCCAAUGUUGAGUAUCCAUAAGCCUUAACCAAUGAGUGCAGUUUUAUGUAUUCUACAUUCAAAAAAUUUCUACCCAUGACAGGAAAAGCUGUCAGGUUGACAGGACUUUCCACACUGUUCCAGGUAUCAGUUUAGAAUUGAACAGUCAGCAGUAGACAUAGCCAGCUUCAUUAAA